Symsagittifera roscoffensis is the source of this 1289-nucleotide long non-coding RNA. RefSeq lists it as uncharacterized. NCBI's taxonomy places the organism in Eukaryota, Metazoa, Xenacoelomorpha, Acoela, Convolutidae. The transcript is spliced from 3 exons. The record is from RefSeq and is a predicted model, not a curated record.
UGCCCUCGCUAAUGGUUUUUCAAAAACAGCCUUCAAAACCCAAUCAUAUAAAUAAAUACACCUACUUUGAACAAGACCCAAAAUUUACAACGCUUUUGCUCGAAAACUUUGGAAGACCGUUGGAGUUUUCCAAAAUAUCCCCGUAGUUUGUUUAAACGGCCAGAGGGUUUUAGAUUCGAGAUUUGAAAUUUUUGAUUUAUCUGAAGUUUAUGUUUUGCAACUGUGCGGCUCUAAAUACCAAUUCUAUUUCGACUUCUCAAAUUAUUCUCUUCAUAUGAGUUAGCACAACAGCAACCCAAUCCAAAAAGAGUUGAAAAUGUCUCGAGAGUGGGCGAACUCAAUUUGCGGCUGCUUCGCUAACAUCCCCUGGUGUUGCAUCACCGUGUUCUGUCCAUGCGCCACCUCAUACAACGUCGGCACCCGAAUCGGUCUCACUUGUAUGGCCAUUACCUCGGUCAUACUAUGGAUCGCAUUCCAUUUAUGCGGCUACCUGCUUGGAGUGAGUGGAACUAAGGCGGAAUUUGACUGGGAAAGCUACAAGACAAUUGACGGGGACCAAAUCAAAGACGACCCGUGGAGCGUGGCGGUUGCUAUCGCUGACAUCUGCAUGCUUAUUUUCAUUCUGCUCUUCAUCUUCAUCGUGUACAGGAUGAGAGUUAACAUGAGGAAGAGCUAUGACCUUGAGGGGGGAUGUUGCACGGACUGUCUAUGGGGAUGUAUCUGCUGGCCGCUUUCGCUGUGCCAGAUGAAAAACCACAUCGAGUAUGAAGGAGUCCAUGUUACACGAGCUUAAACCUGAUUGGCCAAUCCGGUUUAACCAAUUAAAAACGGAGAAAAAACUUGAUUUGUACGAGAUUCAAGCUGAGACGAUAAGGUUUUUUAAAACUUUAAAAAACUACCCAUUUUGAUCUUGAUGACCGCCUGAAAAAAUGAAACCAACAAAAAUCAUACUAACUCCGCAAGAAAUUGAACUAUAAUAAAAAUUAUGACAAUCGCAUAGAAAAUUGAAAACAAGGGUGAAAAAAUCAUUGGAAGUCAUCGACAAUCAACAAACUCUUUCAUCUAUUGCUUAGUUUUUUGUAGCUUUGAUUUUGCAUGUUAACACUUUUUUUCAUAACUCAAAACUUGGUAUGCUUUCAAAAUUGUGAACAAUAUUUGAUAAAAUUGUCAAUGUUUUGUUUGAUAAGGGCUCAUAGUAUUAGACAAAUCAUGUACCCAUUUUAAAGCUUUUGUGACGUGAAAUAAAUGAUUUAUCUUGUUAUAAUUUUAAGUUAGUGUUAUAAGUUUUC